CAUAGAUUGUAUAAGUGGUGUAAGGCCUUUUGGUGUAUCUCUACUGGUUGCUGGAUACGAUGACAAUGGUCCACAAUUGUAUCAGGACGUGAAAGCAAUUGGAUUAACACAGGGUGAUGCGACUAUGGAAUCUUCCCCAGUUUCUCAAACAACAGAUCUGAGGCCUACUUUUUCAGAUAAUGUACCUAAUCUAGGUAAUGGUGGAAAUGUUUCGGCAAUGAAUGUGAAUAAUAAACUGCCCACAUUAUAGAUUUGUAACAUUCUAUACCCGACUCGAUUGUCGAAUUCGAGUUACGGGAUAUCAUUCUUGUUGUCGGAACAAUUAUGAUCAAUUUCAAUUCAAUUUAACAAUUAGUACAUAUUAUAAAGU
This is a long non-coding RNA of Gossypium raimondii (Peruvian cotton), 370 nucleotides long. RefSeq lists it as uncharacterized. The transcript is spliced from 3 exons. The record is from RefSeq and is a predicted model, not a curated record. NCBI's taxonomy places the organism in Eukaryota, Viridiplantae, Streptophyta, Magnoliopsida, Malvales, Malvaceae.